This 403-nucleotide ribosomal RNA is filed under the name uncultured bacterium. Its description in RNAcentral is "partial 16S ribosomal RNA". It matches the Rfam family "Bacterial small subunit ribosomal RNA", at positions 30 to 526 of the family's 1533-position model. The record is from RNAcentral.
AUUGAACGCUGGCGGCAGGCCUAACACAUGCAAGUCGAGCGGGCGUCGGACGGGUGCGUAAUGUAUGGGGACUGCCCGAUAGAGGGGGAUAACUACUGGACACGGUGGCUAAUACCGAAUCCUGUCGGAUAAGCCAUGUGGGAGUAGCUAGUCGGUAAGGUAAUGGCUUACCUGGGCGACGAUCCCUAGCUGGGCUGAGAGGAUGAUCAGCCACACUGGGACAGAGACACUGCCCAGAAUCCUACGGAGGCAGCAGUGGGGAAUAUUGCACAAUGGGCGCAAGCCUGAUGCAGCCAUGCCGCGUGUAUGAAGAAGGCCCUAGGGUUGUAAAGUACUUUCAGUCGGGAGGCGUUACCGACAGAAGAAGCACCGGCUAACUCCGUGCCAGCAGCCGCGGUAAUUC